GAUCAUGGCUCAGGAUGAACGCUGGCGGCGUGCUUAACACAUGCAAGUCGAACGAAGCACUUAUCUUUGAUUCUUCGGAUGAAGAGGUUUGUGACUGAGUGGCGGACGGGUGAGUAACGCGUGGGUAACCUGCCUCAUACAGGGGGAUAACAGUUAGAAACGGCUGUUAAUACCGCAUAAGCGCACAGUACCGCAUGGUACAGUGUGAAAAACUCCGGUGGUAUGAGAUGGACCCGCG
RNAcentral lists this ribosomal RNA (238 nucleotides) under uncultured bacterium. RNAcentral describes it as "partial 16S ribosomal RNA". It matches the Rfam family "Bacterial small subunit ribosomal RNA", at positions 15 to 235 of the family's 1533-position model. The record is from RNAcentral.